This 397-nucleotide ribosomal RNA is filed under the name Bacteroidales bacterium. Its description in RNAcentral is "bacterial SSU rRNA". It matches the Rfam family "Bacterial small subunit ribosomal RNA", at positions 1 to 396 of the family's 1533-position model. The record is from RNAcentral. Lineage: Bacteria; Pseudomonadati; Bacteroidota; Bacteroidia; Bacteroidales.
UACAACGAAGAGUUUGAUCCUGGCUCAGGAUGAACGCUAGCGGUAGGCUUAACACAUGCAAGUCGAGGGGUAACAGGGUAGCAAUACUGCUGACGACCGGCGCACGGGUGAGUAACGCGUAUGCAACCUACCUUUAACUGGGGAAUAGCUUCGAGAAAUCGGAAUUAAUACUCCAUAAUAUCAAAGUAUCGCAUGGUAUUUUGAUUAAAGCUCCGGCGGUUAAAGAUGGGCAUGCGUGACAUUAGCUAGUUGGUAAGGUAACGGCUUACCAAGGCUACGAUGUCUAGGGGGUCUGAGAGGAUGAUCCCCCACACUGGUACUGAGACACGGACCAGACUCCUACGGGAGGCAGAAGUAAGGAAUAUUGGGCAAUGGAGGCAACUCUGACCCAGCCAUG